This 375-nucleotide ribosomal RNA is filed under the name uncultured bacterium. RNAcentral's name for it is "bacterial SSU rRNA". It matches the Rfam family "Bacterial small subunit ribosomal RNA", at positions 28 to 404 of the family's 1533-position model. The record is from RNAcentral.
GACGAACGCUGGCGGCGUGCUUAACACAUGCAAGUCGAGCGGUAAGGCCCUUUCGGGGGUACACGAGCGGCGAACGGGUGAGUAACACGUGGGUGACCUGCCUUUAGCUCUGGGAUAAGCCUGGGAAACUGGGUCUAAUACCGGAUACGACUCCGCGGUGCAUGCUGUGGGGUGGAAAGCCUUGUGCGGCUGGAGAUGGGCCCGCGGCCUAUCAGCUUGUUGGUGGGGUGAUGGCCUACCAAGGCGACGACGGGUAGCCGGCCUGAGAGGGCGACCGGCCACACUGGGACUGAGAUACGGCCCAGACUCCUACGGGAGGCAGCAGUGGGGAAUCUUGCGCAAUGGGCGAAAGCCUGACGCAGCGACGCCGCGUGA